GAUGAAGAACGUAGCGAAAUGCGAUAAGUAAUGUGAAUUGCAGAAUUCAGUGAAUCAUCGAAUCUUUGAACGCACCUUGCGCCCUUUGGCCAUUCCGAAGGGCAUGCCUGUUUGAGUAUCAUGAACACCUCAACUCUCAUGGCUCGCCAUGAUGAGCUUGGAUUUGGGGGUCUUGCUGGCCUGUGGUCGGCUCCUCUCAAAUUGAUCAGCUUGCCAGUGUUUGGUGGCAUCACAGGUGUGAUAACUAUCUGCGCUUGUGGUUUUCCAUCAGAUAACCUUCAGUGAUGGAGGUUCGCUGGAGCUCAUAAACGUCUCCCCUAAGCGGGGACAGCCCUUUGAAUGUUUGAUCUCAAAUCAGGUAGGACUACCCGCUGAACUUAAGCAUAUCAAUAAGCGGAGGA
Molecule: unclassified non-coding RNA, 401 nt
Filed under: soil metagenome
Description: partial contains 5.8S ribosomal RNA, internal transcribed spacer 2, and large subunit ribosomal RNA
Rfam family: 5.8S ribosomal RNA (bases 1-121)
Source: RNAcentral